RNAcentral lists this ribosomal RNA (403 nucleotides) under uncultured bacterium. RNAcentral's name for it is "partial 16S ribosomal RNA". It matches the Rfam family "Bacterial small subunit ribosomal RNA", at positions 30 to 526 of the family's 1533-position model. The record is from RNAcentral.
AUUGAACGCUGGCGGCAGGCCUAACACAUGCAAGUCGAGCGAGCGGCGGACGGGUGAGUAAUGUAUGGGGACUGCCCGAUAGAGGGGGAUAACUACUGGAAACGGUAGCUAAUACCGCAUACUAUCGGAUAACCCAUAUGGGAUUAGCUAGUAGGUGAGGUAAUGGCUCACGUAGGCGACGAUCCCUAGCUGGUCUGAGAGGAUGAUCAGCCACACUGAGACUGAGACACGGCCCAAACUCCUGCGGGGGCAGCAGUGGGAAAUAUUGCACAGGGGGCGCAAGCCUGAUGCAGCCAUGCCGCGUGUAUGAAGAGGGCCCUAGGGUUGUAAAGUACUUUCAGUCGGGAGGCGUUACCGACAGAAGAAGCGCCGGCUAACUCCGUGCCAGCAGCCGCGGUAAUAC